This is a non-coding RNA of Procambarus clarkii (red swamp crayfish), 1705 nucleotides long. NCBI's taxonomy places the organism in Eukaryota, Metazoa, Arthropoda, Malacostraca, Decapoda, Cambaridae. The record is from RefSeq and is a predicted model, not a curated record.
CCCUCCCCCCACAUCCAAACUGGAGUGACCCCAGGGUGGGGGUCCACUGGCACCCCCCCCCCCCAGGAACAAGCCCAGGGGGGGCACCCCGCACCUGGUAGUGAAGAUGCUAAGUUAAAAGUGAGUUCAGAGCAGGAUAUCAUUAACUCCGCAGCCAAUCAGUUAUCGUGCAAGGCCCCUCAGGUGGGCCAAUCAGGACGCUGCUGUCACCCACACCACACAAACCUGCCAAUAACGCCACUACACACCCGUGUGUGUGGGUUCUCUCGCGGUUAGCAUCAACCAUCAUAUAAUUAUUUGUUUUUAUAGCUCAUUUUCCUUUCUAUAUACACUAGUUUAAUGAUUGAAACUUAGAGGUAUAAUGAACCAAUGUUUAUAGCAAACCUAACUUGAUUCUUUCAUUUUGAACCGUUAUAGAAGGGUUUGAAACACAAGUGAGUCACUCCUUCAGCGUGAUUGGUCGAUUAUCAAUGCCUUUAGAGUUUUUUUUUUUUUGAGUGUUAAAUUUGGUUGUUCCUGGAGGGUCGUUUGGUGAAUCAUCCCUGAUUGGUGACCCGGUAUUGGUGACCCUACAGCUGAUUGGGUGGUGUGAACAUAGUUCCCAUAUCCCCCAAGUGAGGUACCUAUUAAUGUGUUGCCAUGUGCCACCACAGGUCAGGUCAAGAGGCACCACAGACGAGGUCAGGUCAUCAUGGCACCACAGGUGAGGACAUCAUGGCACCACAGGUCAGGUCAUCAUGGCACCACAGGUGAGGUCAUCAUGGCACCACAGGUGAGGUCAUCAUGGCACCACAGGUGAGGUCAUCAUGGCACCACAGGUGAGGUCAUCAUGGCACCACAGGUGAGGUCAUCAUGGCACCACAGGUGAGGUCAUCAUGGCACCACAGGUCAGGUCAUCAUGGCACCACAGGUCAGGUCAUCAUGGCACCACAGGUCAGGUCAUCAUGGCACCACAGGUCAGGUCAUCAUAGCACCACAGGUCAGGUCAUCAUAGCACCACAGGUCAGGUCAGGUCAUCGUGACACCACAGGUCAGGUCAUCGUGACACCACAGGUCUGGUCAGGUCAUCGUGGCACCACAGGUCAGGUCGUCGUGGCACCACAGGUCAGGUCAUCGUGGCACCACAGGUCAGGUCGUCGUGGCACCACAGGUCAGGUCGUCGUGGCACCACAGGUCAGGUCAUCGUGGCACCACAGGUCAGGUCAUCGUGGCACCACAGGUCAGGUCGUCGUGGCACCACAGGUCAGGUCAGGUCAUCGUGGCACCACAGGUCAGGUCAGGUCAUCGUGGCACCACAGGUCAGGUCGUCGUGGCACCACAGGUCAGGUCACCGUGGCACCACAGGUCAGGUCACCGUGGCACCACAGGUCAGGUCGUCGUGGCACCACAGGUCAGGUCGUCGUGGCACCACAGGUCAGGUCAUCGUGGCACCACAGGUCAGGUCAGGUCAUCGCGGCAUCCUUCCUCUAUUAUGAUCUAGGCCUGUUAGUACAAAAAUGUUUAGAUUGGCACAGAGUGUUCUGAGGCAAUAUUAUUCUCGAUUGCUUUUCUUAUCUAUCGUUAAGACAUACUCAAGGAACCCAUAUGUAUUUCUUUGAUUUUGCUGAUUUUCACCAGUUGUGUUUUCACAAAUAAUAAUGUUGAUAUGUGUGUAUUAUAUGUAUAUAUGUAUUAAUCCUUCCACUCAAAUAAAUGGAAGAAGCUU